GUGAAUCAUCGAAUUUUUGAACGCAAAUUGCACUCUCCUCGGAGAGUAUGCCUGUUUGAGGGUCAGCCUAUAAAAAAUCGACUUCUUUGCUGUUUCGCGUUGACUUUCGUCGGAAAUUGGGUCAUCUUAAUUCCUUUUGUUUUUAAGCGUCUUAAAAUUUUCUUGUUUGUUUCAUGAACUCUUCGAAGAUUUAUUUCUUUACACUUUGAAGUGUAUCUUUUUUUAUUGUGAGUGUC
Molecule: unclassified non-coding RNA, 236 nt
Filed under: Glomus sp.
Lineage: Eukaryota; Fungi; Glomeromycota; Glomeromycetes; Glomerales; Glomeraceae
Description: partial contains 5.8S ribosomal RNA and internal transcribed spacer 2
Rfam family: 5.8S ribosomal RNA (bases 1-65)
Source: RNAcentral